GCGGACGUAGCUUAAGGUUUAGAGCAAGUAGAUUCCCAACUACCCAGUGCGGGUUCGAGUCCCGUCGUCCGCU
The sequence is a transfer RNA, 73 nucleotides long. It matches the Rfam family "tRNA". Rfam says of the family: Transfer RNA (tRNA) molecules are approximately 80 nucleotides in length. Their secondary structure includes four short double-helical elements and three loops (D, anti-codon, and T loops). Further hydrogen bonds mediate the characteristic L-shaped molecular structure. tRNAs have two regions of fundamental functional importance: the anti-codon, which is responsible for specific mRNA codon recognition, and the 3' end, to which the tRNAs corresponding amino acid is attached (by aminoacyl-tRNA synthetases). tRNAs cope with the degeneracy of the genetic code in two manners: having more than one tRNA (with a specific anti-codon) for a particular amino acid; and 'wobble' base-pairing, i.e. permitting non-standard base-pairing at the 3rd anti-codon position.